CGUAGGCAGCGAGCGUUGUUCGGAGUUACUGGGCGUAAAGGGUGUGUAGGCGGUUGUUUAAGUUUGGUGUGAAAUCUCCCGGCUCAACUGGGAGGGUGCGCCGAAUACUGAAUGACUAGAGUGCGGGAGAGGUGAGUGGAAUUCCUGGUGUAGCGGUGAAAUGCGUAGAUAUCAGGAGGAACACCGGUGGUGUAGACGGCUCACUGGACCGUAACUGACGCUGAGACACGAAAGCGUGGGUAGCAAACAGGAUUAGAUACCCUGGUAGUCCACGCCCUAAACGAUGCAUAUUUGGUGUGGGCAGUUCAUUCUGUCCGUGCCGGAGCUAACGCGUUAAAUAUGCCGCCUGGGGAGUACAGUCGCAAGGCUG
This 370-nucleotide ribosomal RNA is filed under the name uncultured organism. Its description in RNAcentral is "bacterial SSU rRNA". It matches the Rfam family "Bacterial small subunit ribosomal RNA", at positions 526 to 896 of the family's 1533-position model. The record is from RNAcentral.